Molecule: ribosomal RNA, 2243 nt
Filed under: Copidognathus sp. UFMG AC 190590
Lineage: Eukaryota; Metazoa; Arthropoda; Arachnida; Trombidiformes; Halacaridae
Description: partial large subunit ribosomal RNA
Source: RNAcentral
CCGCUGAAUUUAAGCAUAUAAUUCAGCGGAGGAAAAGAAAGUAAAAACGAUUCCCUUAGUAACGGCGAGUGAAAAGGGAGGAGCCCAGCGUAAAGGCCCUACAUCGAAAGGUGUAGGGCGGUGCUACGUUGAUACCCGGGUGUUUGCCGAUGAGUAGAGUCACCGCAAGUUCCGUUGAUUCGGACUUCUUAACCGAAGUGGGUGCUAGUCCCAUAGCGGUGAUUCGCUUGCUUGUCGCUAGCCCGGGUAUGUGAGAGUCAGGUUACUUGAAAGUGUAACCUAAAGUAGGAGGUAAACUUCUCCUAAGGCUAAAUAUUAUGGCAAAACCGAUAGCAAACAAGUACCGUGAGGGAAAGUUGCAAAGAACUUUGAAGAGAGAGUUCAAAAGGACGUGAAACCGCUUGUAGGCAAACGGGUGGACCCACGAAGAUUGCUGGGGCAAGGAUUCAAUCAUCUCGGAGGAGAGGGUUUCGGUGUCGUUAUCUGGCCUUUAACUAGGGCAGGAUGCCGGAAUCGUUACUUUUCACUGAGUGGUGCAUUUCCAUUGCCCCGUGCUAUUACCCCGACCAUUCCAAUGGUCGCCACUCCUGUAAGGUUGUAAGGGGAAAGGUAGCAGGGAUGGCCAGGGCCUCACGGCUCCGGUUGUCUUUGUGUUAUAAUCCUAGUACUCUUGAGUGGCGGCGUAUGGAUUGGGCGCAGAACUCCUCACCUAGUGGGGUAGUAUAGAUGUGACUUGACCGGGUGGUGGUAUCCAGAUGCGGUGGUCAUCCUGUGUUUGUGCUGGUUCCCAGUGUAAAUGCGGGGUGGUCGUUGCCCAUCUAAGUGUGCUGCUCUCGGACUUGUUGCUCUUGUCUCUGGGGUGAGUAGGUCGGUCAUCCACCCGACCCGUCUUGAAACACGGACCAAGGAGUCUAGCAUAUGUGCAAGUCUUACAGUCUUGAACAGGCUCGUGAGGCGAAAUGAAAGUAACAGGUAUGAUCCUGGUGUUCCCUUCCUCACGGCGGGGGCCYGGGCGCAAUAUCGACCCACUCGCUCUGCCUUACGACAGUUGAGUGGCGUUUGAGCACAUACGCUGGUACCCGAAAGAUGGUGAACUAUGCCUGGGCAGGACGAAGCCAGAGGAAACUCUGGUGGAGGUCUGUAGCGAUUCUGACGUGCAAAUCGAUCGUCAGACCUGGGUAUAGGGGCGAAAGACUAAUCGAACCAUCUAGUAGCUGGUUCCUUCCGAAGUUUCCCUCAGGAUAGCAGGCACUCGAGGUGGACUCUGUAGCAUCCGGUAAAGCUAAUGACUAGAGGUCUUGGGGUCGAAACGUCCUCAACCUAUUCUCAAACUUUAAAUGGGUGCGAAGAUCGACUUUCUUAACUGAAGCCGGUCGUAGAGGAUAACAACUUCUAAGAGAGUGCCUAGUGGGCCAUUUUUGGUAAGCAGAACUGGCGCUGUGGGAUGAACCAAACGUUGGGUUAAGGCGCCCGAUGCAGACGCUCAUGAGAUCCCAUGAAAGGUGUUGGUUGCUAUAGACAGCAGGACGGUGGCCAUGGAAGUCGGAAUCCGCUAAGGAGUGUGUAACAACUCACCUGCCGAAGCAACUAGCCCUGAAAAUGGAUGGCGCUGAAGCGUUGAGCCCAUACCCAACCCCCCGGGCAAUCCGCCCAAAUAAGCCCGGGGGAGUAGGAAGGACGCACCGGUGGCGUAGAAGGUGUCGGACGUAGGUCUGCCUGGAGCCGCCGGUGGUGCAGAUCUUGGUGGUAGUAGCAAAUACUCAAGUGAGACCCUUGAGGGCCAAUGUGGAGAAGGGUUCCAUGUGAACAGCAGUUGAACAUGGGUCAGUCGGUCCUAAGGCAUGCGGGGAAACCCGUUCCAAAGUCCCUGAUUUGCGAACUAUGAUCAGUUGAAAGGACAGCGGUACGUGCCGAAAGGGAAUCGGGUUAAUAUUCCCGAACCUAGUGAUGGAGAUAGGUCCUUCGGGAUCCAGUGCGGUAACGCAAGCGAGCUCAGAGACGUCGGUGGGAGCCCUGGGGAGAGUUGUCUUUUCUUUGUAAGGUUCUGAUUCCCUGGAAGCGGUUUACCCGGAGAUAGGGAGGAAAGAACCGUAAAGCACUGCGGCUCUUGCAGUGUCCAGAGUGCUCUCGUCGGCCCGUGAAAAUCUGAGUGAGGUGGUGUUAUUUUCAUCCUAGCCCGUACCCAUAUCCGCAGCAGGUCUCCAAGGUGAACAGCCUCUGGUCGCUAGAAUAAUGUAGGUAAG